GACGAACGCUGGCGGCGUGCUUAACACAUGCAAGUCGAACGGAAGGGCCCUGCUUUUGUGGGGUGCUCGAGUGGCGAACGGGUGAGUAACACGUGAGUAACCUGCCCUUGACUUUGGGAUAACUUCAGGAAACUGGGGCUAAUACCGGAUAGGAGCUCCUGCUGCAUGGUGGGGGGUGGAAAGUUUCGGCGGUUGGGGAUGGACUCGCGGCUUAUCAGCUUGUUGGUGGGGUAGUGGCUUACCAAGGCUUUGACGGGUAGCCGGCCUGAGAGGGUGACCGGCGACAUUGGGACUGAGAUACGGCCCAGACUCCUACGGGAGGCAGCAGUGGGGAAUAUUGCACAAUGGGCGGACGCCUGAUGCAGCAACGCCGCGUGCGGGAUGACGGCCUUCGGGUUGUAAACCGCUUUCGCCUGUGACGAAGCGUGAGUGACGGUAAUGGGUAAAGAAGCACCGGCUAACUACGUG
Molecule: ribosomal RNA, 468 nt
Filed under: uncultured bacterium
Lineage: Bacteria
Description: partial 16S ribosomal RNA
Rfam family: Bacterial small subunit ribosomal RNA
Source: RNAcentral